GACGAACGCUGGCGGCGUGCUUAACACAUGCAAGUCGAACGGUAAGGCCCCUCGGGGUACACGAGCGGCGAACGGGUGAGUAACACGUGGGUGAUCUGCCCUGCACUCUGGGAUAAGCCUGGGAAACGGGGUCUAAUACUGGAUAUGACCUCAGCAUGCAUGUGCUGGGGUGGAAAGCUUUUGUGGUGCAGGAUGGGCCCGCGGCCUAUCAGCUUGUCGGUGGGGUAAUGGGCUACCAAGGCGACGACGGGUAGCCGACCUGAGAGGGGGACCGGCCACACUGGGACUGAGACACGGCCCAGACUCCUACGGGAGGCAGCAGUGGGGAAUAUUGCACAAUGGGCGGAAGCCUGAUGCAGCGACGCCGCGUGAGGGAUGAAGGCCUGCGGGUUGUAAACCUCUUUCAGCAGGGACGAAGCGUGAGUGACGGUACCUGCAGAAGAAGCACCGGCUAACUACGUGCCAGCAGCCGCGGUAA
This 478-nucleotide ribosomal RNA is filed under the name uncultured bacterium. RNAcentral's name for it is "partial 16S ribosomal RNA". It matches the Rfam family "Bacterial small subunit ribosomal RNA", at positions 28 to 523 of the family's 1533-position model. The record is from RNAcentral.